RNAcentral lists this ribosomal RNA (214 nucleotides) under uncultured bacterium. RNAcentral describes it as "partial 16S ribosomal RNA". It matches the Rfam family "Bacterial small subunit ribosomal RNA", at positions 1287 to 1500 of the family's 1533-position model. The record is from RNAcentral.
CCCAGUUCGGACUGUAGUCUGCAACCCGACUACACGAAGCCGGAAUCGCUAGUAAUCGCGGAUCAGAAUGCCGCGGUGAAUACGUUCCCGGGUCUUGUACACACCGCCCGUCACACCAUGGGAGUCGGAAAUGCCCGAAGUCAGUGACCCAACCGGAAGGAAGGAGCUGCCGAAGGUGGAGCCGGUAACUGGGGUGAAGUCGUAACAAGGUAUC